This 416-nucleotide long non-coding RNA is filed under the name Heterocephalus glaber (naked mole-rat). RNAcentral's name for it is "lncRNA (ENSHGLG00100047983.1)". The record is from RNAcentral. Lineage: Eukaryota; Metazoa; Chordata; Mammalia; Rodentia; Bathyergidae.
CUCUGGAUCUCCUGCCGCUGUUAGAGCCAAACCCAAGGCAGGCGGCCUACUCGUUCCGAGAGCAUCGGGAGCUUCGCAGAUGUGGAGAUGGUUAUUUGUAGUUUAUCCUCACAGCAAACUGGGGCGAAUCCGCUCCACACACUACUGAGCGCCUACUGUGUACCAAGUCUCUACUAAGCCUGUUCUCCAACAGGAUCCGGGUCGGAGUGGGAUAGAGAACCAAGAGCUGAGAGCCAGCGUCUGCCUCUGGCUGGGGUUAUUCGCUCACGGAUUACUGAAGUCGAUGGAGUCUUGCUCUCCAUACUGGCCUAGAACUCCUGGGCUCCAGUGAUCCUCCUGUCUCAGCCACCUGAGUAUCUGAGACUACAGGCACUCACCACUGCAACUGGGCCAUUCACUGUUAAAGGACAUUUGGG